CCUACGGGAGGCAGCAGUGGGGAAUUUUCCGCAAUGGGCGAAAGCCUGACGGAGCAACGCCGCGGGAGGGAUGAAGGCCUCUGGGCUGUAAACCUCUUUUAUCAAGGAGGAAGAUCUGACGGUACUUGAUGAAUAAGCCACGGCUAAUUCCGUGCCAGCAGCCGCGGUAAUACGGGAGUGGCAAGCGUUAUCCGGAAUUAUUGGGCGUAAAGCGUCCGCAGGCGGCCCUUCAAGUCUGCUGUUAAAAAGUGGGGCUUAACUCCAUCAUGGCAGUGGAAACUGUUGGGCUUGAGUGUGGUAGGGGCAGAGGGAAUUCCCGGUGUAGCGGUGAAAUGCGUAGAUAUCGGGAAGAACACCAGUGGCGAAGGCGCUCUGCUGGGCCAUCACUGACGCUCAUGGACGAAAGCCAGGGGAGCGAAAGGGAUUAGAUACCCCUGUAGUCCUGGCCGUAAACGAUGAACACUAGGUGUCGGGGGAAUCGACCCCCUCGGUGUCG
RNAcentral lists this ribosomal RNA (496 nucleotides) under uncultured bacterium. Its description in RNAcentral is "bacterial SSU rRNA". It matches the Rfam family "Bacterial small subunit ribosomal RNA", at positions 338 to 848 of the family's 1533-position model. The record is from RNAcentral.